GAAUAUGGCAAAAUUCAAUAAUUAUUAUUAAUUCUGCCAUAUUGGGGGGUAAUUGUUGACACAUAAAAAUUCAGCCCAAAUCGAACAGCCCAGAGAAUAAAGCCCAAUUGGAGGAUCCCCAAAUCAGAUAGCCCAAAGAACGAAAUCCAAUUGAACGAAUCAAGGUGAAUGCCCAAAUAAGGGGCCCAAUAGUGCGGUAACGCCAUCGCCCAAGUUUGCAAGUCGCUCAGAAUCUGAACGAAUAGAGUGGCAUACGGUCGCCCAG
Molecule: long non-coding RNA, 265 nt
Filed under: Olea europaea subsp. europaea
Lineage: Eukaryota; Viridiplantae; Streptophyta; Magnoliopsida; Lamiales; Oleaceae
Source: RNAcentral